AAGCACAUCCUCCGCCCAGUCUGGAGCGGAGAUGGCGGCGACGGCAGUGCGAGCGGUGAUGUUCCCCGCGGUGCGGCGGCGGCGGCUUUGGGGUUUCGCGGAGAGACUUCUGGUUGGAGGCGCUGCCGGGAGGUCAUUAUAUUUUGGAGGGAACAGAUUGCGAAGUACACAGGCUGCUACGCAGGUGGUUCUGAAUGUUCCUGAAACCAGAGUAUCGCGUUUGGACAACGGACUCAGGGUCGCCUCUGAAGACUCUGGCAUUUCAACAUGCACAGUUGGGCUCUGGAUUGAUGCUGGAAGUCGCUAUGAAAAUGAGAAGAAUAAUGGCACAGCUCACUUUUUGGAGCAUAUGGCUUUCAAGGGCACCAAAAAGAGAUCCCAAUUAGAUCUGGAACUUGAGAUUGAAAACAUGGGUGCUCAUCUCAAUGCUUAUACCUCCAGAGAGCAGACUGUGUAUUAUGCCAAAGCAUUCUCUAAAGAUCUGCCAAGAGCUGUAGAAAUUCUUGCUGAUAUAAUACAAAACAGCACAUUGGGAGAAGCAGAGAUUGAACGUGAGCGUGGCGUAAUCCUUAGAGAGAUGCAGGAAGUUGAAACCAAUUUACAGGAAGUUGUUUUUGAUUAUCUUCAUGCCACAGCUUAUCAAAAUACAGCACUUGGACGGACAAUUUUGGGACCAACUGAAAAUAUCAAAUCUAUAAAUCGGAAGGACUUGGUGGAUUAUAUAACCACACAUUACAAGGGGCCAAGAAUAGUGCUUGCUGCUGCUGGAGGAGUUUCCCAUGAUGAACUGCUUGAGUUAGCAAAGUUUCAUUUUGGUGACUCUUUGUCCUCACACAAAGGAGAAAUACCAGCUCUGCCUCCCUGCAAAUUCACAGGAAGUGAGAUACGAGUGAGGGAUGACAAGAUGCCUUUGGCGCAUAUUGCAGUAGCUGUCGAGGCCGUUGGGUGGGCACAUCCAGAUACAAUCUGUCUGAUGGUUGCAAACACACUGAUUGGCAACUGGGAUCGCUCUUUUGGAGGAGGAAUGAAUCUUUCCAGCAAGCUGGCCCAGCUCACCUGCCAUGGCAGCCUCUGUCACAGCUUCCAGUCCUUCAACACUUCCUACACAGAUACGGGAUUGUGGGGAAUCUAUAUGGUUUGUGAACCGGCCACCAUUGCUGACAUGCUACAUGUUGUUCAAAAAGAAUGGAUGCGACUCUGUACAAGUGUAACUGAAAGUGAAGUUGCACGAGCCAAGAAUCUCCUGAAAACAAACAUGUUGUUGCAGCUUGAUGUUCUUCCUUCCUUUUUAAACAGGUUCUACCCCAAUCUGUGAAGAUAUUGGUAGGCAGAUGUUAUGUUACAACAGGAGAAUUCCCAUCCCUGAGCUUGAAGCCAGAAUUGAUGCUGUAAAUGCUGAGACAAUUCAAGAAGUGUGCACCAAAUACAUUCAUGCUAAGAGUCCAGCUCUUGCUGCCGUCGGUCCUAUUGAACGGCUGCCAGAGUUUAACCAGAUUCACAGGAACAUGUGCUGGCUUCGUGAUUAAAAUGCUCCUACUCAGAAUAUUUUGAGCAUGUGUAUUUAUAAUGCUAACAGAUUGCAAGUUUUAAGCUACCAGUCCCUAAAGAAAAAAAUAAAAACGUAUGUACCUGGAAA
Molecule: RNA transcript, 1636 nt
Organism: Mustela erminea (ermine)
Lineage: Eukaryota; Metazoa; Chordata; Mammalia; Carnivora; Mustelidae
Gene: PMPCB
Gene name: peptidase, mitochondrial processing subunit beta
Exons: 13
Source: RefSeq, a predicted model, not a curated record